Molecule: long non-coding RNA, 2618 nt
Filed under: Felis catus (domestic cat)
Lineage: Eukaryota; Metazoa; Chordata; Mammalia; Carnivora; Felidae
Description: lncRNA (ENSFCAG00000048456.1)
Source: RNAcentral
GGGGAGGUGGUUUGCUGUCUCAUAAGCACAGAGCUGGGACAAGGCAGGAACAAGGGGGCAUCUGCUUGGAGUCUGAGAGUUUGAGAUGAGUGGGUAAGGGAGCCUUUUCUGUUCUUGGAAUGACUCCUUGAUUUUUUCCAACAAGGGCCUCUGAGAGAUGGUAUUGCUCUCUUGGUCUUUGAUUUCCAUUAGCGCAGGAAACACAUAGUAAAUGGUGACUUCUUUCCUAUGUCAAGGUUUUCCUUGAUUUUGGUGGGGGGGGGGGGGGAUGGAUUAGACUUGAAAAACAUUUCCAUUAUUUAUACUUCAAGUCUUCUUUCCACCUCAAGAGGGCUCUUGCCUGAGGGACAUGUCCGGACUGGAUCCAGGCCAACCCUGCAGGGGCCAGAAGGCAUAAGCUUUCUGAACUAUUUUCUGUCUCUGUGGCCCUUGCUUUCGUCACUGAGUAAUGAGUUUCAGGCAAGUGCUGUUUCCACGUAGCCUGGUCUGGAGUGGCCACGAGGAGCCCGGAGAGAGACCUUUGCCACGGGGUGGCAGCAGCACCGCAGGUACAACGUCUGUCCUUGCUGGGGCCAGCUCAUUAGCACAGCAUCCCCUGGGUUCCCACAGAGCCAGGGCCUGACCGCCUCUCUGGUUCCCCUUGGCAGGGAGGCAGAGGAUGGAAGGGGGCCUAGCAGAAGGGGAGGUCACUGGCACACAGAGGGGCAGUUUUGUUCUCUGAGAGACUCAGGAGGAAGCUGGGUGGUCUCCUCAGAGUGUCAAAUUGUGCCAUGCACAAAACCGCCAUGCAGUGUGGUGCUCCCGGGAGCCCAGCCUAACAAAAGCCCUCGGAGGAGACUGGCAGGGCUGCUGGUCCGCCCGGGCGCAGAGGCCCCGGCCCCUCCAUGAGGAGGCCCGCGGGUUUCUCAUGAUGCCGGUUUCCAGGGGCGACAGCCCCCCUCCCAGAAGAUGUAGGUCUGCGGCCUCCUGGCCUCCUGGCCUCCGUCCUGCCCACAGAUGGAGCUGGGAAACACUCCCCCCUUCUGCAGCGUCACUCCCACUCUCUUCCUCCUUCACUGAGCCGGUUUUGUUCUAAACAUCCUAAGAAUCUUUCUAAGUGCCAGAAACCGUGCUGGGGGCUUUCUAUUAUCAUCUGUUUCAUUUUCCUUACAUCCUCAUGAAGACAGCAUUCUUAUAUUCAUUGAGGAUGAGGAAGUUGAAGUUUAAUCUCUCGUGCGUCAAGUUUAGUUGACCCCAGAAGCCCGCUGUGACACCUCUGCCAACGUGCAGAAACUUGAUACCAACCUUGCUUUGCAGACUGCAGGUUUCAUCCAGUCCCCCACAUGUACAGAUGAGGGCGCUGGACGAUCAGGUCAAGGAACCACAGGUGGUUAAAAGCAAGUGAGAGACUAAACCUCCUUUUCCCAAGUCUGCUUUGCACUUGACCUGUCCAGUGAAGCUGUUCUAGAACUGCCAUUACCAUGAAGUCAAUGGAUUACGUUCCAGGGUUGAUGAAGACGAUCCUGGGACCCUGGGGAAACUGCUCGAGGAUUCAGGUGUAACAAGUGUGGAUUCAGCCCAGUGCUGCGGACAAGUUUAGGUUCAGCCACCACUCUGAAGCUGAAGGCCUUUGGGUUUUAGGACACACGCAGCUAGUUUGAGUCUACUUGUGUUAGUUUCCUAAUUCCCACGUGGACUUUCUCCAGUUUGUUUUCUACCUCUUUGGCAAAUAGCUCAUCAUCAACUUAAAUGAAACAAUGCUUCACAGAGGCCCUGUGGUGCCAAGGCAGUGGGAUUUGGUGACAGAAUCUUUUAAGUGCUAAGUUCUCCCCAGGGCAGACUCAUCAUCAGUUCCUUUAGUGGCUUAGCUGACUUCCUGGAUGGUCUUUAUUUUCUCCUGCAGUGUCUGUAAACUCCAGGCUGGCUGCCUUCAGGCCUUCUUAGGAUCCCCUGAACCUGCAGAGUUGAAAAAGUCAUCUGACACCAUCUUCUCCGAGACUCACUGCUACCUUUAACAUGUGCAUAUGCAAUUAUUGGGAAACAGUUUAUGAUUUUUAGGGGCAUAUUUUGUCCUUCUGCAGUAUCCGUUGGGCCCUGCUUUUCAUAUGCUUCAGCCUGGAUUUAAAGAAGGGGCUUUUGUAGGAAUGAUGCCCGUCCACGGAUGGGGAAGUUCCCCGAAAAAACCUUUGAGAAAUGCCUCACUCCCAAGUUUACAAUGACUGCAAAGUGAUAGCCUUUGAAUAGCUCAAUAUGAAAAAAAUAUGGGCGCUUUCCUAAAAGGAGCACCCCAAAUGAAAAAAAUGUGUUCACCAGUGGAAAACAGUAUGCGGAUGCCAAAUUUUUCAGCCCUGUAAUGGAUUACAGAAAAUAUUUUGUUUGGGGGGGGGAGCGGGUGGUGGUCAGGAGGAAGGAUUGAGAAAAAGAAAGGAGAGAAAAAAGGAAUGAGAAGAAAAGAAAAACAGAUGUGAAUCUUAAAAUAUUUCAAGCAUGGAUAGCUGAAAUACUGUUUAAUUUAUUUAAGACUAUUCUGUGAAGUCUAAAAGGUGAUUGAUCAGGCUUUUAAGAUGCAGCCACAAGAUUUACAAUCAUGUAAUGAGUGAUAAUGUCCCCAAAGCAAAUAAAUAGUGGGAAAUAUCCCA